This is a long non-coding RNA of Panicum hallii, 3722 nucleotides long. RefSeq lists it as uncharacterized. The transcript is spliced from 5 exons. NCBI's taxonomy places the organism in Eukaryota, Viridiplantae, Streptophyta, Magnoliopsida, Poales, Poaceae. The record is from RefSeq and is a predicted model, not a curated record.
GGCCGGGGCGAGGGCGAGGGAAGGGGCUUCGCGGCGGCGGAGGCGGCGGCGCAGAGGCCUUCUUUGGUAGUUUCAAGGAGGAGAAUGAUGCUGUGGAGUUUUACAAGGCGGACUUAGCGGCGAUGACCAUGAAGCAGUCUUCAGUCCUGAGGAUAGAUUAUCUGCGCAUCAAGGAAUACAGCCCCAGCCUAUCAUAUGUUUGUUUUUAAAAAACCAUGCAAAUCUGCUAAAUUGUUUGACACCCCUCAAAAAAAAAAAAAUACUGUGCUAUAUAUUGUUUACAGUUAUGCUACGAUCUUGUUAAAUUGAACACCUAGAAAUAGUCAAAUGCUGGAUUGACAAUGAUAUGUCUGUCAAUGAUACGUACCUAGUAUGGUUAUAAAGCUUUAUAUCUGGGGUUUCAUAAAACCUUAGCACUUUUGAACAACAAAAAUAAUUCACGUUUUGUUUUAUAUUGGGUCCAAAAUUUGAUUUUGUUGUUGUCUCUUAAGAGUUUGGUGUGGCUAAUUAUCUUAUUCAUUUCGUUUGUCAUGAUAAAAAGUGCCAUUGUCAAUGCAUUCAAAAGGUAUAUUCCCGCUGACAGUUACUUUCAUGGGAUAUAAAUUACUGUCAACUGCUACAAUUUUCCUAUUUUUAAAAGGUAAAAUUACUUUACUUACAAUGAAAAUUUGUCUACUGUUCCCUCAAUAUGUGAGUAUUUGACCGUUAAUAAUAAUUUCAGAAACGAAAUGCUAUUUGAAUUUCUGGUGAACCAUGGACCUUGAUGUACUAACAUAUUCGAUGUAGAAUCGAUGGGGUGGUAUAUGGUGGAUGAAAGCUUCAAACAGUCGACCUUAGUAGGCGAAGUCGGAACAGUAUGCUUAUACGUAAAGAUCUAUUUUUCCACUACCACUAGUGACGCGCCAUUCUUUUCGAACCUUUCCAAUGCCUUGCUUAAUAUCCCUACUGACGUCCCUGCUAACUUGAAAUCCAUGGAGAGAUUCAUCACAUUUAUAUACAAUCACAUUGCUUUUCUUUCUGCACUCAGCCGCUCCAAUCUCAUUUACAACCUAAUGAGAGUGUACAUGGCGCUAAGUCCCAAUGAACAAGCCAAUUUGUGGCAUGUGUUGAUCAAUAUACUCCUCUAACUCAAAAAGUGGCCGACUGGAGAUAAAAGUUGUCUAUGCAUAAGAUUUUUUAUGAUGUAUACCAGAAUCGCCCAAUGAAGGGGAGGUCGAGAAAUUUUGGGACUUUUUAUUCUUCUUCUGGAAUGGACCUGCUGAGGUAUCAAAGAAACUUCGUAGUGCAUGCUGUAGAUCAUCUGAAGGUAUGUUGUUCAAGUUUCCUAGCUUAACAGUUAAGAUAUGAUAUACAAUGUCCACAUUUAUAUUGUGCAUCAUUUUUUUAUACUCAUAUACAUAUAGUUGAUGUUUUGUCUCCUGCACCCUAUCUAUACUGUGUUUGCUCUGAUAAGGGAGCUCAUUGGUCAUCACAAGUUGGGUGUGCUAACCUACAAGAUUUUCUUUAUACCAUCCUUCGCUGCAUUUUCAGAGCGAGAUUAGCUAGAGCUGUUGCCUUAGAUCAUACAUUUCCUUUCUUUUUUGUGGUGGGGGUGGGUGGGUGGGUGUGCGUGUGUUGGGGGGGGGGUGUCUUGUGUUCAUUGAACGAUGCCUGGUGAAGGCUUCAAUUUUUCUCCUCUUUGUCUGCCAUGACCUUGCAUGUUGGCUGCAGCAAUUGGAGAGUUCGGUGUUGAGACUGGGGAUAUCUCUUGGAUUCCAGAGAGAGAUUUUAUGGGUAUUUUCUCUUGUGAAUCAAUGGCAUAAUUACCUCAUGUCCAGUUUAAUACCAUCCUUCAUCAAGGUGAUACACAUGUAGAAAAUGUGCUUUAAUACCAUGUGGGUGUGUGUGUGGGGGGGGGGGUGUCUUCGGUUCAUCGAACGAUGCCUUAGAUGUCAUAAUCUCGCUCUGAAAAUGCAGCGAAAGAUGUCAUAAAGAAAAUCUUGUAGGUUAGCACACCCAACUUGUGAUGACCAAUGAGCUCCCUUAUCAGAGCAAGCACAAUAUAGAUAGGGUGCAGGAGACAAAACAUCAAUUAUAUGUAUAUGAGCAUAAAAAAAUGAUGCACAAUAUAAAUGUGGACAUUGUAUAUCAUGUCUUAAUUCUUAAGCUUCCUAAGCUAGGAAGCUUGAACAGCAUACCUUCAGAUGGUCUACAGCAUGUACUACGAAGUUUCUUUGAUACCUCAGCAGGUCCAUUCCAGAAGAAGAAUAAAAAGUCCCAAAAUUCCUCAACCUCCCCUUCAUUGGGCGAUUCUGGUAUACAUCAUAAAAAACCGUAUGCAUAGGCACCUUUUAUCUCCAGUCGGAUUGGAGGAGUAUAUUGAUCAAUACAUGCCACAAGUUGGCUUGUUCAUUGGGACUUAGCGCCAUGUACACUCUCAUUAGGUUGUAAAUGAGAUUGGAGCGGCUGAGUGCAGGAAGAAAAGCAAUGUGAUUGUAUAUAAAUGUGAUGAAUCUCUCCAUGGAUUUCGAAGUUAGUAGGGACGUCAGUAGGGAUAUUAAGCAACGCAUUGGAAAGGUUCGAAAAGAAUGGCGGGUCACUAGUGGUAGUGGAGAAAUAGAUCUUUACGCAUAAGCAUACUGUUCCGACUUCGUCUAUCAAACUCGACUGUUUGAAGCUUUCAUCUACCAUAUACCACCCCAUCGAUCCUACAUCGAAUAUGUUAGUACAUCAAGGUCCAUGGUUCACCAAAAAUUCAAACAGCAUCUCGUUUCUGAAAUUAUUAUUAAUGGUCAAAUACUCACAUAUUAAGGGAACAGUAGACACAUUUUCAUUGUGAGUAAAGUAAUUUUACCUUUCAAAAAUAGGGAAAUUGUAGCAGUUGACAGUAAUUUCUGUCCCAUGAAGGUAACUGUCAGCGGGAAUAUACCUUUUGAAUGCAUUGACAAUGGCACUUUUUGUGAUGACAAACGAAAUGAAUAAGAUGAUUAGCCACACCAAACUCUUAAGAGACAACAACAAAGUCAAGUUUUGGACGCAACAUAAAACAAAACGUGAAUUGUUUUUGCUGUUCAAAAGUGCUAAGGCUUUAUGAAACCCCUGAUAUAAAGCUUUAUAAGCAUACUAGGUACGUAUCAUUGACAGACAUAUCAUUGUCAAUCCAACAUUUGGCUAUUUCUAAGUGUUCAAUUUAACAAGAUCAUAGCAUAGCUGUAAAUAAUAUAUAGCAUGGUACAUGUUUUUUUAGGGGGGGUGUCAAACAAUUUGGCAGAUUUACAUGGGGGUGGUUGCUGUUGACAUGAACUCAAACAAGUUGCAAGCAGUAUCCAGUUUUUGUGGAGCGACCUUGCCUUGGUUCUCGACAGCAUACUAUCCAAGCUCGUUUACAAAGUAUCUCAACAACAGCGGCCCAGAAAUUGAGCUAAAUGCCCAAACCUCUGAUGGUCUAGCAAGCACUGAUACGGAGGACUCCUCCAUCGAUGAUUAGACAUUUCUGGAUAUCCCAAGCCUCGUAAGGGCGAAAUUGAAGAUACUUUCGUAUGGCAUGCUGUGAUGGAUGGAUUGUGGCUUCCGUGGGACUUGGCCCGGUGGCCACCUGUCUAAUAAGAAGUGAAUGUGCAUCUUUAUUAUAGCGAAUGCUUUCCUUUGCAGAAAUGUUUCCAUGUUUGUUUUGUUUUACUAGCUGGUAUUUCUAUGUGAAUCCAUGACGCUGUUGCGAAAACUCGAGAGAUCAUUAUCAGUUA